Molecule: ribosomal RNA, 2929 nt
Filed under: Bacillus sp. A260
Lineage: Bacteria; Bacillati; Bacillota; Bacilli; Caryophanales; Bacillaceae
Description: 23S ribosomal RNA
Rfam family: Bacterial large subunit ribosomal RNA
Source: RNAcentral
UUUGGUUAAGUUAGAAAGGGCGCACGGUGGAUGCCUUGACACUAGGAGUCGAUGAAGGACGGGACUAACGCCGAUAUGCUUCGGGGAGCUGUAAGUAAGCUUUGAUCCGAAGAUUUCCGAAUGGGGAAACCCACCAUACGUAAUGGUAUGGUAUCCUUAUCUGAAUACAUAGGGUAAGGAAGACAGACCCAGGGAACUGAAACAUCUAAGUACCUGGAGGAAGAGAAAGCAAAUGCGAUUUCCUGAGUAGCGGCGAGCGAAACGGAACAUAGCCCAAACCAAGAGGCUUGCCUCUUGGGGUUGUAGGACAUUCUAUACGGAGUUACAAAGGAACGAGGUAGACGAAGCGAUCUGGAAAGGUCCGUCGUAGAGGGUAACAACCCCGUAGUCGAAACUUCGUUCUCUCUUGAAUGUAUCCUGAGUACGGCGGAACACGUGAAAUUCCGUCGGAAUCUGGGAGGACCAUCUCCCAAGGCUAAAUACUCCCUAGUGAUCGAUAGUGAACCAGUACCGUGAGGGAAAGGUGAAAAGCACCCCGGAAGGGGAGUGAAAGAGAUCCUGAAACCGUGUGCCUACAAAUAGUCAGAGCCCGUUAACGGGUGAUGGCGUGCCUUUUGUAGAAUGAACCGGCGAGUUACGAUCCCGUGCGAGGUUAAGCUGAAGAGGCGGAGCCGCAGCGAAAGCGAGUCUGAAUAGGGCGUUUAGUACGUGGUCGUAGACCCGAAACCAGGUGAUCUACCCAUGUCCAGGGUGAAGUUCAGGUAACACUGAAUGGAGGCCCGAACCCACGCACGUUGAAAAGUGCGGGGAUGAGGUGUGGGUAGCGGAGAAAUUCCAAUCGAACCUGGAGAUAGCUGGUUCUCCCCGAAAUAGCUUUAGGGCUAGCCUUAAGUGUAAGAGUCUUGGAGGUAGAGCACUGAUUGGACUAGGGGUCCUCAUCGGAUUACCGAAUUCAGUCAAACUCCGAAUGCCAAUGACUUAUCCUUAGGAGUCAGACUGCGAGUGAUAAGAUCCGUAGUCAAAAGGGAAACAGCCCAGACCGCCAGCUAAGGUCCCAAAGUGUGUAUUAAGUGGAAAAGGAUGUGGAGUUGCUUAGACAACUAGGAUGUUGGCUUAGAAGCAGCCACCAUUUAAAGAGUGCGUAAUAGCUCACUAGUCGAGUGACUCUGCGCCGAAAAUGUACCGGGGCUAAAUACACCACCGAAGCUGCGGAUUGAUACCAAUGGUAUCAGUGGUAGGGGAGCGUUCUAAGGACAGUGAAGUCAGACCGGAAGGACUGGUGGAGUGCUUAGAAGUGAGAAUGCCGGUAUGAGUAGCGAAAGACGGGUGAGAAUCCCGUCCACCGAAUGCCUAAGGUUUCCUGAGGAAGGCUCGUCCGCUCAGGGUUAGUCAGGACCUAAGCCGAGGCCGACAGGCGUAGGCGAUGGACAACAGGUUGAUAUUCCUGUACCACCUCUUUAUCGUUUGAGCAAUGGAGGGACGCAGAAGGAUAGAAGAAGCGUGCGAUUGGUUGUGCACGUCCAAGCAGUUAGGCUGAUAAGUAGGCAAAUCCGCUUAUCGUGAAGGCUGAGCUGUGAUGGGGAAGCUCCUUAUGGAGCGAAGUCUUUGAUUCCCCGCUGCCAAGAAAAGCUUCUAGCGAGAUAAAAGGUGCCUGUACCGCAAACCGACACAGGUAGGCGAGGAGAGAAUCCUAAGGUGUGCGAGAGAACUCUGGUUAAGGAACUCGGCAAAAUGACCCCGUAACUUCGGGAGAAGGGGUGCUUUCUUAACGGAAAGCCGCAGUGAAUAGGCCCAAGCGACUGUUUAGCAAAAACACAGCUCUCUGCGAAGCCGUAAGGCGAAGUAUAGGGGGUGACACCUGCCCGGUGCUGGAAGGUUAAGGAGAGGGGUUAGCGUAAGCGAAGCUCUGAACUGAAGCCCCAGUAAACGGCGGCCGUAACUAUAACGGUCCUAAGGUAGCGAAAUUCCUUGUCGGGUAAGUUCCGACCCGCACGAAAGGUGUAACGAUUUGGGCACUGUCUCAACCAGAGACUCGGUGAAAUUAUAGUACCUGUGAAGAUGCAGGUUACCCGCGACAGGACGGAAAGACCCCGUGGAGCUUUACUGUAGCCUGAUAUUGAAUUUUGGUACAGUUUGUACAGGAUAGGCGGGAGCCAUUGAAACCGGAGCGCUAGCUUCGGUGGAGGCGCUGGUGGGAUACCGCCCUGACUGUAUUGAAAUUCUAACCUACGGGUCUUAUCGACCCGGGAGACAGUGUCAGGUGGGCAGUUUGACUGGGGCGGUCGCCUCCUAAAGUGUAACGGAGGCGCCCAAAGGUUCCCUCAGAAUGGUUGGAAAUCAUUCGUAGAGUGCAAAGGCAUAAGGGAGCUUGACUGCGAGACCUACAAGUCGAGCAGGGACGAAAGUCGGGCUUAGUGAUCCGGUGGUUCCGCAUGGAAGGGCCAUCGCUCAACGGAUAAAAGCUACCCCGGGGAUAACAGGCUUAUCUCCCCCAAGAGUCCACAUCGACGGGGAGGUUUGGCACCUCGAUGUCGGCUCAUCGCAUCCUGGGGCUGUAGUCGGUCCCAAGGGUUGGGCUGUUCGCCCAUUAAAGCGGUACGCGAGCUGGGUUCAGAACGUCGUGAGACAGUUCGGUCCCUAUCCGUCGUGGGCGUAGGAAAUUUGAGAGGAGCUGUCCUUAGUACGAGAGGACCGGGAUGGACGCACCGCUGGUGUACCAGUUGUUCUGCCAAGGGCAUAGCUGGGUAGCUAUGUGCGGAAGGGAUAAGUGCUGAAAGCAUCUAAGCAUGAAGCCCCCCUCAAGAUGAGAUUUCCCAUAGCGUAAGCUAGUAAGAUCCCUGAAAGAUGAUCAGGUUGAUAGGUUCGAGGUGGAAGCAUGGUGACAUGUGGAGCUGACGAAUACUAAUAGAUCGAGGACUUAACCAUAUAA